This 1299-nucleotide ribosomal RNA is filed under the name Cylas formicarius (sweet potato weevil). RNAcentral's name for it is "16S ribosomal RNA". The record is from RNAcentral. Lineage: Eukaryota; Metazoa; Arthropoda; Insecta; Coleoptera; Brentidae.
AUUUAAAAAAAUUAUUUUUAUUUAAGUUAUAAAUUUUAUUGAAAUAAAAAUAUUAGAGUUUUAUUAUUAAAUCAAAUAAUUAUUUUAAUUAUAGAUUAUUAGUAUUGUGAAAGAAAUUUUUUAAAAUUUUAAAAGAAUAAUUUAUUUUUAGUACCUUGUGUAUCAGGGUUAAUUAAAUAUAAUUUAUUUAUUAAUAAUUUUCUCGAAUUUAAAAGAGUUAAAUUUAUAUAAUUUUUAUUGUAAAAUAAAUAUUAUUAAUAUAGAUUUAGAGGUGAAAUGCUAUUCGAUUUUAAAUAUAUCUAGUUUUUUAAGAAAAAAAUUUAAUUUUACUAAUAAUUAAUAAUAUUUUUAUUUAUUAAUAAGUUAUUUUUAUUGGGUUAUAUUUUAAGGGAUGAGCUUUUAAAUAGAUAAUUAUAAAUAAUAAAUUUAUUAAUAAAGAAAUAGGAUUAGAAAUUUUCAUUUUUAAAAAAGUGUUAUAAUUUUUUUAUUAUAGUAUAAAAUUUAUAUUAAUAUUUUAAUUUUUUUAUUAAAAUAAUAAGUUAAAUUAAUAAAUUUAUGAAAUAAUGAUUAAAUUAGUAAAUANNAUAUAUAUAUAUAUAUAUAUAUAAUUGUUUGUUUAAGGUUAAUUUAAGGAAUUCAGCAAAUAUUUUUUUCACCUGUUUAUUAAAAACAUGUCCUUUUGAAAAUAAUUUAAGGUCUAACCUGCCCAAUGAGGAAUUUAAUGGCCGCAGUAUAUUGACUGUGCAAAGGUAGCAUAAUCAUUAGUUUUUUAAUUGAAAGCUUGUAUGAAGGGUUGAAUGAGAAAAAUACUGUCUCAGAUUAAUUUAAAUUGAAUUUUAUUUUUAAGUUAAAAAGCUUAAAUAUUAAUUAAAGACGAGAAGACCCUAUAGAGUUUAAUAAUAUAAUAAAUUUAUUUUUUAGAAUUUAUAUAAUAAAUUUUACUUGUUAUUUAGUUGGGGUGAUUUAAAAAUUUAAUAAACUUUUUUUAUAUAAAAACAUUAAUUUAUGAAAAAAUGAUCCUUUAAUAAAGAUUAAUAGAUUAAAUUACCUUAGGGAUAACAGCGUAAUUUUUUUUUAGAGUUCAAAUCAAAAAAAAAGUUUGCGACCUCGAUGUUGGAUUAAAAUUUAUAUUUGGUGUAGGAGCUAAAUUAAUUUGGUCUGUUCGACCAUUAAAAUUUUACAUGAUCUGAGUUUAGACCGGUGUAAGCCAGGUUGGUUUCUAUCUUAAUUUUAUUAAGAAUUUUUAGUACGAAAGGACCAAAAUUUUAUUAAAUUAAUUAUUUUAGAAUAAUAAUAAUG